RNAcentral lists this unclassified non-coding RNA (238 nucleotides) under uncultured fungus. RNAcentral describes it as "sequence contains ITS1". Lineage: Eukaryota; Fungi. The record is from RNAcentral.
GUAUUGGUUAUGGUAUAAUGUAUCAGUAAAGAGUGUAUAAGAGUUUGGUACAAGUGCAGACGAGCGGCGGGCGCUCACCGCGGCUAGCUGCCGCGGGAGACACGCGUUGAGGAGUGUGCACAUUACAUUGCACCCCCCUCCCCACUUCCCGCCAACCCAUCCGCAACGCAGCAUACGGUUCACAGUGUGUAGAUAUAAAGAUCCUGUGAUGAUCCUUCCGCAGGUUCACCUACGGAAA